CCUACGGGAGGCAGCAGUGGGGAAUAUUGGGCAAUGGGCGCAAGCCUGACCCAGCAACGCCGCGUGAAGGAAGAAGGCUUUCGGGUUGUAAACUUCUUUUGUCAGGGACGAAGCAGGUGACGGUACCUGACGCAUAAGCCACGGCUAACUACGUGCCAGCAGCCGCGGUAAUCCGUAGGUGGCAAGCGUUAUCCGGAUUUACUGGGUGUAAAGGGCGUGUAGGCGGGACUGCAAGUCAGAUGUGAAAACCACGGGCUCAACCUGUGGCCUGCAUUUGAAACUGUAGUUCUUGAGUACUGGAGAGGCAGACGGAAUUCCUGGUGUAGCGGUGAAAUGCGUAGAGAUCAGGAGGAACACCAGUGGCGAAGGCGGUCUGCUGGACAGCAACUGACGCUGAGGCGCGAAAGCGUGGGGAGCAAACAGGAUUAGAUACCCCAGUAGUC
Molecule: ribosomal RNA, 443 nt
Filed under: uncultured bacterium
Lineage: Bacteria
Description: partial 16S ribosomal RNA
Rfam family: Bacterial small subunit ribosomal RNA
Source: RNAcentral